GUCGAGAAUCAUUCGCAAUGGGCGAAAGCCUGACGGUGCGACGCCGCGUGGAGGAUGAAGGCCCUAGGGUCGUAAACUCCUGUCAUCAGGGAGUAAGGGCUCAUAUAGUAACUGCUAUGGGUCUUGAUAGUACCUGAAGAGGAAGGGACGGCAAACUUCGUGCCAGCAGCCGCGGUAAUACGAAGGUCCCAAGCGUUGUUCGGAUUUACUGGGCGUAAAGAGUCUGUAGGCGGUGGGGUAAGUCAGAUGUGAAAUCCCGGGGCUCAACCCCGGAACUGCAUCCGAUACUGCCUUACUUGAGGGUCGGAGGGGAGUCUGGAAUUCUCGGUGUAGCAGUGAAAUGCGUAGAUAUCGAGAGGAACACUAGUGGCGAAGGCGAGACUCUGGACGACAACUGACGCUGAGAGACGAAGGCCAGGGGAGCGAAAAGGAUUAGAUACCCGGGUAGUCC
RNAcentral lists this ribosomal RNA (451 nucleotides) under uncultured bacterium. RNAcentral describes it as "bacterial SSU rRNA". It matches the Rfam family "Bacterial small subunit ribosomal RNA", at positions 354 to 796 of the family's 1533-position model. The record is from RNAcentral.